This is a long non-coding RNA of Folsomia candida, 1348 nucleotides long. RefSeq lists it as uncharacterized. Lineage: Eukaryota; Metazoa; Arthropoda; Collembola; Entomobryomorpha; Isotomidae. The transcript is spliced from 3 exons. The record is from RefSeq and is a predicted model, not a curated record.
CAAGUGAAAAUUUCUAUCGUCACAAAUAUGCAUGCACUUCAAGAAGAGCAAAUCUAUUUGAAAAAUGUGUUCGUUCGUUCGUACAGCGUUAUUAAAAUUUGAGGAGCAGUUUGCAUAAUAAUUUGUGAUUAUAUUACAUUCACGUGGACUGGUGUAGUAGCAACAAAAAACGGGAAUAAUGUGUUAUUUGCAUUCCAAAGUCAGUCAGUAAAAGCACGCACACUUAAGACUCGAACUUUUUUUUACAGUUUUCAUGAUCUCUCGCUCGACUAGUGAUACGAAAAUACAUCACAAACUGAGUAAGACGACUAUGUUGCAUGUGAUGCUGGACAAAAAAUGGAUUUGCAUGCACUGAAUGUGAGUGUAAUUGCAUCUUCCGCAUCUCAUCCUCCACCUCCACCUCGACUUAAAGAAGAAGAAGACAAAAAAAGAAGUUCUUCUUAAGAGGACGGAACGGAACGGAUUGGAAAAAAUGAAGAUGAAGAUCGUCAUCGUGACGAUGAUGAUGAUGAUUUGACACACGUGUCCAAUUUUGGGAGGAUAUAACGCCGAAUGGGAGAUUUUUGGAGGAUAUAACGCCGAAUAUGGGAUUUUUGGGUAAAUUAUGACCCAAAAACAUAAAGAUUUGAUUUCAUCUUGUUCAAAAAUGUUGUGAAAUUUUGGAAAACUUGAAAAAUAUGAUUUUAUAUUUUCAUGGGAAAACUCAGACUCCUAGUUUAAAUAACUCGUAAGAAUGGCGUAAUAAAGUUUCAUUUAAACUUUAUUACAAGUAUUAGAUAAUUGAAAUUAUAUUUAAAUUUUAAGCUGGAAAAAUAAUUGUACUUAUUUUGUUUUUUCUUGUAGUGGAUAACGCCGAAUAUGAGAUUUUUGGGUAAAUUAUGAUCUAAAAACAUAUAAAGAUAUGUCAGGUUUUUGGUCAAAAAUGUUGGCAAAUUUUGGAAAAUUUGAAAACUACUAUUUUCUAUUUUUAAUGGGAGGACUUGGGACUUCUCAGUUUAAAGUGCUCGUAGCUGUGGCGUAACAAUGUGUCAUUUAAACUUGAUUACAACUCUUAAUUGAAAUUCUGCUUAAAUUUUAAGUCUGAAAAAUUAUACUUAUUUGAUUAAAUUGAAGUCAACAAUUUGAUUACAUUUCAAAUCGCAGACGAGUUAAGACAAAAUAUUUUAAAUGUAAUUAAUUAAUUUUAAGUUUAAUUCAAUCAUACUCAAAUAUGACCUAUCAUAUUUUUCGAUAGCAUAUGCACAGGUCUGAAAAUUGAUUAUCGCCCUUAAACUUACUCAAGAAUAUGAAUUAGCCUAAAUUAUUAUUUUCUUUACUGAUAAAAAAAUGAUCAGCUUAUAUAAUCCAA